Molecule: ribosomal RNA, 523 nt
Filed under: Candidatus Kaiserbacteria bacterium RIFCSPLOWO2_02_FULL_51_13
Lineage: Bacteria; Candidatus Kaiseribacteriota
Description: bacterial SSU rRNA
Rfam family: Bacterial small subunit ribosomal RNA
Source: RNAcentral
CGCCUGGGUAGUACGGCCGCAAGGCUAAAACUCAAAGGAAUAGACGGGAGCUUGCACAAGCGGUGGAGCGUGUGGCUCAAUUCGUCGCUAAACGAAGAACCUUACCAGGACUAGAUAUCCUACUGCACGCCUAGCGAAAGCUAGGAAGCCUUCGAGGGUGUAGGACAGGUGAUGCACGGCUGUCGUCAGUUCGUGAUUUGAAUCGUUCCCUUCAGUGGGGUAACGAACGCAACCUUCGUUGCCAGUUACAAGUGUCUGGCGAGACUGCCCCCUCACGGGGGAGGAAGGUGGAGAUGACGCCAAGUCAGCGUGUCCCUCUGAUGUCCUGGGCUGCACACGCGCUACAAUCGCCGUUACAAUGGGGCGCAAUGCCGCAAGGCGGAGCAAAUCCCAAAAAGCGGCGCCAGUUCGGAUUGAGGUCUGCAACUCGACCUCAUGAAGCCGGAAUCGCUAGUAAUCGCGGGUCAGCUAUACCGCGGUGAAUACGUUCUCAAGCUUUGUACUCGGGUCGUCAUGCGAUCGA